RNAcentral lists this long non-coding RNA (714 nucleotides) under Homo sapiens (human). RNAcentral's name for it is "non-protein coding lnc-TMEM234-3:6". The record is from RNAcentral. Lineage: Eukaryota; Metazoa; Chordata; Mammalia; Primates; Hominidae.
GGUCAAUUCGCGGCGUAGCCGCUGCCCCAACUCCUGCCCCAUUCUGGUCCCGCCCCUCUCCCGCCUUUUCGCUGGGAAGGGUAUCACCUUUCUCUGGCCCCGCCCCUGACGGUUCCGGGCCCCGCGAAGCUUAGUCCCUUCUUUGUCAAGCCAGGACCCGCCCACGGUCUAUUCAUAGGGUCCCAAACCACUUUGGCCACAACACCCCCAGACUGGUCCGAAGCCUCGUGAGUUCGCCCUGGUCGUUGCACUCCAGCCUGUCGCUGUGCAGACCUGGCUUAGAGGACCCCUAAGGCUGAGGGGUCACUUCCAGAACUGAGUCCGGUCCGCAGGUUCUGCUACGCUCCAGCCAGCCCCUAACUGGUCCCCAGAAGCGGCGCUGCUACAGGGACCAGGAGCUGCUGCGAACUGCGCUGGCGGGGGCUCGUCCUUGGGCGCGGGGCUUCAUCAUGGACACGCUCUCGGCCCAGGCCGCGAAACAAGCCCGCGUGACUGGCGGAGGCACAGAGACCAAGGCCGCUUAACCUGGCUGGUUGCACUGGUCCCUGGAGAGCACUGAGCACAGGGGCUGCCACAGUGGCCGGCUCAGACAUGGCAGAGAUCAGCAGAGAAUGGGCAAUCAGGCUCCCCUGAGAUGAGCAGCAGCGCAGAGGAGGUGCCCCUCUCUUACUACACCAACUUCAGAUGGGCUCUUUACAGGAUUCUGUGUCUCCC